This 127-nucleotide ribosomal RNA is filed under the name uncultured bacterium. Its description in RNAcentral is "partial 16S ribosomal RNA". The record is from RNAcentral.
CGUCACAGCUGCACGCUAUUAACGUACAACCUUUCUUCCCAAUUGAAAGUGCUUUACAACCCUAAGGCCUUCUUCACACACGCGGCAUGGCUGCGUCAGGGUUUCCCCCAUUGCGCAAUAUUCCCCA